GACGAACGCUGGCGGCGUGCUUAACACAUGCAAGUCGAACGGAAAGGCCCUGCUUUUGUUGGGUGCUCGAUUGGCGAACGGGUGAGUAACACGUGAGUAACCUGCCCUUGACUUUGGGAUAACUUCAGGAAACUGGGGCUAAUACCGGAUAGGAGCUCCUGCUGCAUGGUGGGGGUUGGAAAGUUUCGGCGGUUGGGGAUGGACUCGCGGCUUAUCAGCUUGUUGGUGGGGUAGUGGCUUACCAAGGCUUUGACGGGUAGCCGGCCUGAGAGGGUGACCGGCCACCUUGGGACUGAGGUACGGCCCAGACGCCUACGGGAGGCAGCAGGGGGGAAUCUUGCACAAUGGGCGGAAGCCUGAUGCAGAAACGCCGCGUGCGGGAUGACGGCCUUCGGGUUGUAAACCGAUUUCGCCUGUGACGAAGAGUGAGUGACGGUAAUGGGUAAAGAAGCAACGGCUAACUACGUG
RNAcentral lists this ribosomal RNA (468 nucleotides) under uncultured bacterium. RNAcentral's name for it is "partial 16S ribosomal RNA". It matches the Rfam family "Bacterial small subunit ribosomal RNA", at positions 28 to 507 of the family's 1533-position model. The record is from RNAcentral.